GCUCCCUUCUCUCAUCACACUGAAGCCCCUCAAUGUCUUUCUUGCAGUGAGGGGCCCAGAACAGGCUCCCAGAUUCAGGGUGCCUCAGCAGGGCCAACACAGUGAGCUGUUGAAUAGCUGCUUAUAAAAGCAUUUGGCUUUCAUGAUAAAUCCUAUGUAUAUUGCUUCUUUUAAAUGCAUUUAAACAACUUUGACUAAGAAUCAGUUUAACACUGGGAAUUUGCAUGUUCUGUGUUGGCAGUUUUCUCACAGAACAGGUCAUGGAAGUAGUGUACUUGGGCUUUUUUGAGCGGGGGCGUUGGGGAAGAAUAGCCAGUUUGCUGCUUCAGAUCACCUCUGUAUUAAUUGUGGAGGAAGUUAUCUACAUUUGCUACAGAGCUAUUGAGCUGUUAAUGUUAAAUAUAAGAAUUAAAGUGGAGAAAGGGAAGAGAAUGCUGGAAGAACAUAUAAGAUGGGCUGAGUGAAAAAGAUAAUCCCUAGAAAAACAGAUCUAAACAGUCUGAGAAUCAUAGAAUGGUUUGUGUUGGAAGGGACCUUAAAGCUUAUCUCAUUCCAUGCCCAUGCCAUAGGCAGGGACAUCUUCCACUAGACCGGAUUGCUCCAAGCCCUUUCCAGCCUGUCCUUGGGCACUUCCAGGGAUGGGGCAGCCACAGCUGCUCUGGACAACCUGUGCCAGGGCCUCAGCACCCUCACAGGGAAGAGUUUCCUCCUAAUAUCUAAUCUAAGCCUACUCUCGGUUUGAAGCCGUUACCCCUUGUCCUGUCACACCAUGUUCUUGUAAAUAGUCUCUUUCCAUGCAAGUCCAAGGUGACAGUGUCUUAAAAAAAGUUGAAGGAAGUCUUGCAGGUCAAGGCACUGUGGCAGGGGAGAAGUAGGUUUUUACUUCAGCAGUGAUUUUAAAAGAGAAAAAAAGCAAAUUCUGAAAUUGUUGAUACACCGUUUACAAAACCACAUUUUCGCAGACAUGGGAUGUAGAGUGGCUGAUAUUUCUUUUCCUUGCCCCCUUUAUUCUGUACCAUCCAUUUAUUUUCUUAUGAGCAUCACAGGCUGUGCCUACUUUUGAUUAGAAGUGAGGCUUAUUUGCAUACAAAAGGGGGGGAAAAGGCAGUGUUACAUGUGCAAUAAAUGGGAAAACAUUGAUAAGGAAAUAAUGGAUGAAAAUGCCCAGUUAUUUUCUGAGGGUAAAAAGCAUCCUUAGUUACUCCUUUGAGGAGCCUCACCCUUAACAUUAAGUCUUCUAAACUGGGCCAAUAGGCUUGAGCACAUCAUUUCUGCCCUUCACCAAGGGUGAGGUGCAUAACACUGCAACAAAUCACCAAGGGAUCUUACUAAUAGUGUCACUAAAAUUACAGCACAUCUCUUGUCACUGUAAAUAUUUGUGUCUCCUCUCUCUUGUUGGCUUCACUCUCUCUUCAUUGUCCUGUAAACUCUUCCUUAGUGGAAUUAUUUAUUACUACAUUUAGACAGACCUUGGCACCUCCUAUCAACUGCUCUCUAGGCCAACAUUAAAUUUUGUUUUAGAAGCAGGUUUCUUAGCCACAUAUUUUAUAAAGUGGUGCAAUUCCAGUCUUUGCCCCAAGCCCAUAUUUGAUGAUACCAAUAUGUGUCUGGAAGAGUUUCCUCCUCAGUUCUGUGUAUUUCUCAUUGCCAGGGCUUUUUUCUAAAUUGCAGCCAUCUGUUGUGAGUCUGCACUCCAUGGGUUAAAGUUUAUUUUUAUAUUAAGACAAGCUUUCAUUAUGUUUUCCCUCUUUCCCCCUUUCUCCCCCCACAGUCUGGAACUUUAGGCUUUCUAGUUAAGCUUUUAUGGUGGCCACAAACAGGUGCGUGCUUUACAGAGGGUCUCAUUCUGCAGCUCCCACUGGCAUCCCUGGCCUCCUGAACUCCCUUUUGCUACCUCCUUCCCCCUCAAUAAUUUUUUAUGAAUGACAGCUUUUCAGCACCCUGGGAACAGCUUGUUGGGAAGAACACUCUUUGUGGGGUGCAGCCAAAUCCUACACAUUUCUCCGAGGGUUUUCUGUGAAAGGGCUGGUUCUGCAUUGCAGGUAUGACGUACGUGUGGACUCCCCCUCCCUGCUGGCUCCCCCACCUCCUGCCUCUGAUUCACUGGGAUAAAUCUGCUUUUUAAUAAUGCUGGUAGACUCUCGCCACAGGUGCUUCUCAAUUAAAAUCCACUUUGUUUAAAAACUGAAGGCUUGUUUAACUGAUCCCCUGGGGAGAGUUGUCAGAUCCCAGGGUAGGUGACACAAAUAGAUUGGUGACCCUCUGGAGCUGCAUUGAAAAUACCAUAUCCUGGGGUACCAGAGGGCAGCGUCACUCUGAAAACAAAUCCGCACGUUUGAGAAACCCUGGGUGGAAUCCCUGGGACUUGUCAUUUCAGUGUGAGGCCUUUUUAAUCCAUCUUUUAACGUUUGGUUUUGUUCCUGCUACCCUUCUCACACCCCCUCCCCCCCAAGUACUUUCACCUUCUUUCUAAUACUGAUUUAGCAAUUUAGAAAAUACAAAGGUAAAAGGAACAUUUGUUUUUUUCCAAGAACAGUCUCUCUUUUGUAUUCUAAAGAUAUUUUCAAGAAAUUAAUUGGAAUGGCAAAAGGGUGUGGAAAAAAUAUUUGAAAAAAAAAUAGAAAAAGCAAAUUCAAAGUGCCUUUUUUUUUUUCUUUUUAAAGAGAAAGGAAAAUGUACUUUGAGUGAUCUGAACUUUUCCCUGCCUUCUUAGACAUGUAUUUUUAGCAUUUUGAAUACAUGUAAUGUUCUCAGAUAUUGCUUACUAGAGCACUUUGAAAUAACUAUAGAGGGUGGAUGGGAUGACUCAGGGGACUGGUAAUUGAAUGCGGAGCCUUUUCACCUCCAAGUCCCCAGUUUGAAUCGAACCCAAGCUGAGAGCGACCUCGUGGUUACCCUCAGAUGGGUGUUUAGUGGCCUGUCUGAAGUGAGUUGGUGGUCUCAGUCCAGCUCUUGGCAAACAGCUACCACAUCACAGCAGCCACAGCCGCAGUUGGUGCCAAUUACCAGCCAGGCUGGCAGUGCUGGCAGCCAGGGGAAGGAUGGAAUUAGUGUGUGCUGCUCCUGUGUCAGAGGUGGUCCCUGCUGCUCUUGGAGCCCUGCAGCAGCAGCUGGAUUUGGUGCUGUUGGCCUUGUGGGAUGUGUGUUCCUGCACUCUGGGGUGAUGUUAACUCCCAAGUGCUGAGCUGGGUCCCUGUGUGGGUUUGGUUUUGCUUUGCCUCUGCAGGUUAUCAGUCCCUCUGUUCAAGGGCAUCUCCAUGCAUGGGAAUUUCCCACACACCUUUGUCAGUCGGAUUUGUCUCUUGACAUCUCUGCUAAGCAUGCCAAAAAAAGAGAUUCUUCACAUUUUUGUGUCCAGAGAAGGGAAUGGAACUGGGGAAAGGGCCUGGAGUACCAGGAGCAGCUGAGAGAGCCGAGGGAUCUCAGCCUGGAUAAAGGGAGGCUCAGGGGGGACCUUCUGGGUUUCCACAACUCUGACAGGAGAGGGGUAGUCAGGCUCUGCUCCCAGGGAACAAGGGACAGGAUGAGAGGAAAUGAACCCAAGCUGUGCCAAGGGGCGUUCAGGUUGGACAUCAGGAGGACUUUCUUCACCAAGGAUGGCCCAGAGAGGUGGUGAAGUUCCCGUCCCUAGAGGUGUCCAAGGAGUGACUGGAUAUGGCACUGAGUGCUCUGGUCUGGGUGAUGAGGUGGGGAUCAGUCACAGGCUGGACUCGAUGGCCUUGGAGGUAUUUCCCAACCUGAAUGGCUUUGUGAGUCUGAGUUUUCAGUCCAUUUGUUUGAUAGCAGUAGUCACACUUCUGGCAACUCUCAGCUCCCGAAAUUUCCAUACUACCCCGUUAUUUUGCAAUCCUCUUUCUGAAGUGGUUUUACAUUUUAUCUCUGAAGAAGUUUUUUUUUCUCCUGAAGCUAAACUAAAAUGUAGUCAUUUUGAAAGUGUGAGGACAAAAUAGAUAAUUCUUACCCUUUAAAAUCCCUUACAGCUGAAAAAAAAAAUCUUGCAUAAAUUUCUUGUAUUUUGGGAGUUCCAGAGUAUAGCCCUCUCAGAUCUUCUGAAUGGAGCUUUAAUGGACUCCAAACCCCAUAGAUGAUCCCUCUGCUGGCAGUAAGAUUUUGGGCUGAUAAACAAAUCUUAUCUGUCUGCAAAAUCAUGACAAUUUUCAGAUGUUAAAGAAAAGUUGAAAUAAAUAUGGUUUACAACAUUUUAUGCUGUAAGGCAGUUCUUUCCAAAAAUGGGCGGUUAAUUUUUCAUACUCUACAUUUCAUUCAAGGGAGCGACAGUAAUACAAUUCUAAUCAAAAUGGAGUGGGUUUUUCCCCAAGUACUAAACUAAGUCCCUUAGAAACCCGUUUUUUAUUUUUUGCCCCUAAAUCUUAAUGUUAACUGUGGUUUCUGUAAAAAUAAACAUUUCCUCAAGGUAUUGGCAGCCCAAAUAGAGAUGCUGAAACUGAAUGUAACAAGAGUGACCUUAUGAGGAUUUUUUACCUCUAAAUUGCGACAUAUUUGUGAAUGGCACAAAUAGAAACAAUGUAGAUUUUUAAGCUUUUGAUUAAGCUUAAAAAUGUAAGCUGUCAUUGGUAAAAUGGUAAGGAGGAUUUUGUAUAAAAGGAGAUCUAAGUAUUGCCUGUUGAGGAGGACAGGGAUGCAACAUUUGCAAUCUAUAGUUUAGGGUAACAUCCUGCUGCACACAUCCAAGUAACUAGUUAGGUUGAUUCCCUCAUUUCUGGUCACUCACUGAUAGGUGAUUUGGCCAGGCUUCGCUGGGAGGGCAUGGAUUUGGGCUAUCUUUGCAGAAUAUGGUUUCUUUUCAUCCAACAGGAAGAUAGAAGGAAGCAGGUAGGAGACCAGCUUUCUGGCUGGGAGCAGCACUGCUGGAGAUGAAGGGAAGCCUGGCUCAGGGCUUUCUUUUGUCUCUUGGAGAAGCUCAGGAAAUUAACUUUUGUAAGGGUCUACAAGGAUAAUCCCAUGCUUGGAGUCUUGAGCAGUCCAGAAAAGAGGCAUAAAGGAUUGCUUUUUGCAAGUUGAGAGUAGUGGGUAAAGCCAAGAAGAUGUUGUAAGUGAUUUGCCUCAUCUGAGAAACAGAUGUGUCCCUCACCUGGGGCUGGUGGUGGCAGAGCAUUGCCUCUUCAGAGCUCAGGCAGGAAGGAGGACUGUGCAUAACACUGCCCUGAAAACUUGUCUUAGAGCAUGUGUUCUGAGUGGAAGCGCUGUAAGUCUGGAGGAGAUGAAGUCUUCUAAAUAAUGAUGGUUUUAUGGAGGAGGUGACGCUUUCCUCUCACAAAGAAAGGACAUGGAAAAAACUGAAAUGGAAACAGUUGGCAAGGUCACUUUGGCUUGUCUUGAGAACGUCAGGAAGGAGGCCUCCAAACAAACCAAAACCCUAGGAGUGGGGCUAUCACUGUUUCUUCCUGCUCAAAUAGAAUUCUUGUUCAAGGCAUUUCCAAAUAAGGGUGAGGAACUGAGCACUGCAACCGCAAGAUGACAGUGCAAGGCUGUUAAAACCAACACUCCUUUUUCUUUCUACUUAAAAUAAUCCACGUCCAGCCAUGAAUCAAAGUGCCUCUGUAACCUGCCUUGCUCCAGAAUAGACUGACAGAAACAUAUACAAAUCCUCCUGGAAAAAUAAAUUAUGAGAAAAGCUUUAGCUGGGAACUCCAGAGUAAGAAUGAUUAGCAAGUUGCACCAUUCACUUAACGUGAUUUUAAUCGUGGGCUAGUAGUUCAUCUCAAGGCUAAAAAUGCCACCAUAGAUCUCUUGGGUGAACACAAGGCAUAUAGAAAUUACAUGGCAAAAUUAGCAUUUGCAUAAUAUAGUAAUAGGAGAAGCAAAAAAAAAAAAAGAGAACAAGGGGAAGAAUUUCCUGGCUAGUAUGAAUUCACCUGAAAUCAGUGGAGCUUUACUAAUCCAUGCCUUUGAAACCCUCCCCUUCAGCAUUCCAGUGUUACAGCAGCAAUGAGCCAUGGGCUUGUUGUUGAGAUGCCUCACUGAAGUAAAAAUCAAACCACUGUGCUACUGAAUGAAAGAAGGAAAGAACAAUUUUAGCAUGUAAGAUUAGGGCAGUGCUGUCAGGGUGGGACCAGCCUGGAGUUUGCAAUACUUGAGCCCACUUACACUUUGUAUAAACUUCUAAAUACUUGGGAAACCUUUCCGUGAUGUUUUGAUUUCAAAAGCUAUCUGGCAGCCUAAGUAUCCAUACCUAACAAUUAAACCAAUAAAUUCAGAGGCCAGUCUUCAAAGUUCAGAGCUUCAAAUGCUCUCACUAGUGCAUUAUUCAUGGCUUGGUUUUUUCCUUUGAUAUCUCUCUAUGGUGUGAUCUGUAUAGCAGAAGAGAACCCACAUCUGUCUGUUUACACCACCCUGGAAAUUCUUGUGGGCAAACAAAAAAGUCAACCACAAAUAACUGCUGGGCUAGCAACAAACAUAGUAUCUGGAGUGCCUCCACCCACCUGCCAUCAGGCAGACUUCUGAAUCUCAUUUGAAAUGGGAAAAGUCAGAUCAGGAUGAGACGAAGGGCUGGGGGGAAAAACUAGAUUGAAAGACUAACCUGAAAUUAGCAGAACUGGGAAUUUUGCUCUUUUUUUAUUUUUUUUAUAUGGAGUAGGCCAUAUGUGGGCCCUGAGCUGAGCAUCAUGGCAUGGCACAGUGCAUGUCCUUCAGUCAGAUCCUUUGACUCAUUGUGGGAUUGAGGACUGAACCCAUUUGAGCUAAAAGGGGACAGGUUCUUCUGAGCUGUGUCUUGAAGAAAGGUGAACAGAAAACAUCCUGUAAACCAUUUCAAAGUUCAUGAAAGAUUCUCCAGUAGGAUGCUGGGAAAGGCUGUUAAUUCCUGUUUUGUUUGAGCCACUGCAGACUCUAAUCAUUCUCACUUUAGCUGCAGGGUCUCGUUACAUUGUUGUGGGUCUUAUUGGAGGGAUAUCAAUUUCCAUUGGCUUGAAAAGUUUCCCAAAACUUCCAGUGAUGAUGUCGUUACGAAGGCUUUGGCUCACCCAGAUAUUUUUAUGAACCCGAACUAAAGCAUAUGGGUAGCAUUCUCAAAAUCAAUGGAAGUAGUUACAUGCAUAAAAGUACGUAUCCAUGAAGUUGGAUCUCAUCCUGUGACCCUUUAAUUCUUGAGAAGUAUGGAAAAGACUGUGAUUUAUUAAUCUGAUCUUACACAAUGGUACUUGAUUUGCAAUGUUCAGAGAGUUUUAAUUGUUAUUUGUGUCACACUAAUAUCCAAUCACUUGGAUGUUUCGCUUUAACUUGAUUUAUUACUUAAAAAAUAAAGCCAUGGUGGAGAUGAGGAUUUCAUUGUCUAUAAAUAGCUUUUCAGUCUGGUGUUAGAUCUAUUUCGGAGGCUUUAGUUCUUGGUGAGGUAAUUUCUCCCCAGUGCAGAUCAUCUCAUGUGCUGGAGUAUACCACACUGAUGUUGACUCGCCUGCUUAGAAGUUUGUUAACAGCUUUUAUUUCCUGAAUCUGGGGAACAGUUUUUCCUCUUCCAGUUUUGUUCAGUUUUCUGAGAAAGAGGUACCUUUUUGACUCAUCCCAGCUUCCUCCCUUGUUCUGUUUAUCCUUACUGUAGAAGAUGGCCACAAUUCCUCCAUUUCGUGCAAAUUAGAGGUAGUGCUAGGGUCCCUGGCAAGUUCCCAAUACAGGUCUCAGAUGACUUAAAUGCUUCCCAUGGGUACAUUGACACAUUAUUGAGCAAUUACAUUCUCUUGUGGCAGUCAUCUGUGGAAUAAGUAAACUGCCUCUGUGAGCCCCAUGGUGAUAUCAUGCACCAUAAAUGCAUGCUUGGCCUCCAUUGUGUCAACAAUCCCUCACGUUCUCAAAUGCAGAAAUGCGAGUAUAAUUCUCAAACUACACUGCCUAAUAAACAGGUUAGUUUUAUUACCUGUUUCUACCUUGAAGGGUAAGAUUAAAUUUAAUUUAUAAGGCUACCCUAAAAGGAGAAGGGGUGUGGGUAAGCUUAAAGUGAUUAUUUGUUUAUUCACUCUAAAUUUAUUAAUUUGGGGUUUGGGGGGGGAAAAGGGAGGCCAGCAGAAGAGAGUGGCUUACAUUUAAGUCUUUUUUUUUUCUUCUGGUUAGGGGAAGGUUGGUCAUGAAGAUCGUUUUCUCAUCAAUAACUUUGGCAAGACUAUGGCAUACGUUACUGAUAAUUCCCAGAUUUGCUUGCACAGGCAAAAAAUAUUUAUGCAACAAGAUGUCAAGUAACACUGUCUUGAAAGUUAGGAGAUCUUUGAUUACACAGUGUAGUGUAAAGUUAAUGGUGUAACGAGUGGUUUUUUUCCCCCUCCCUUCAAAAAACUUGUGUCUGAAUGUUUUGUAAAGUCCUUCACCAAGGGCUACUGUGGAUGACACUGUCCUCAGACAAAUUUUAUGGCCACCAGGUGCAUUGAGACCUCUGAGAGGGGGAAGUCCAGCACUCCUGCCUGAAUCCUCCUGAACGUGGAUGUGACAGCACAGGGUGUCCUACACAUGAGGCCAGUCGGGUUGUUUCCUCAGCUUUUGUUGUGGCUGGGGACAGAACACAGAUCCCAGUGUGCUUUUCAGGGUUGUGCAGUAUUAUUCAGUCUGGUUGAAUGACUACCCUCUGCUUUGUCAUCAGAGAAUAUUUAUGACCAUCGAAGGAAGGCUGAGUUCCUGGAGACGGGAUAACGCGUGGCUUUCUGCUGCCAGACACAGAGUUCCUUUCCGUGGUCACACCAAUGUUUUUUCAUACUCCCACGGACACCACAACUUUUUUGGAUAAGGAAGAAGAUGAUGGAACACAGAUGAGGGAAAGAAAUGGCCUCAGAGAACUUGGAUACGUGGGGGUAUUUUUACCCUUUGGGGUUUUUUCUUCCUGAAUUUCAAUGAGUGACUUAUUGGAAACUUCUUCGGGUUUGAAGUGUUUUUUUUUUCUUGCUCCGCACACACAAAACUGUUUUGGGUUGUUUUGUUUGUCUUUUUUAUAAUGCAGCUGAGAUAGGGUGACUUGAUAUUUUUAAAAUAGAAAACUGAUGCGUUCUGAGGGAAUAGGCGGAAGAGAGGAGGACUUCAGUAGCUGGAAAAGUCCUAUGGGUCAUCCCAAGGACAACUUGUGACUGGGAAGGUUGUGCUGGAUAUGGCAGGGAGGAUUUGCUGAGAGCUGCUAUGGAGGCAGGAGUAGUGCUGCUUGUCCUUGGGUGCCAAAUCCACUGCUGGUUCUCUAAAUGCCAGAUCUCAAGGAUCCGUGCACCACAGCCACAUAUCUCUUUUGAUUUAUUAACUGUUUUUUCCCCUCUUUCUUUUAAAGCAAAUUCUACAUUAAGCUUUUCCAACCCGCAGCAUUAGAAACUAUCAGGCACUGAAUGCCAAGCAGGUGCCUUCCAUUUCCCUCACUGACAUCCUGCUGUCCUCUAUCACUCAGUAAAAAUAAACCUAAGACAAAAAAAAUAUCUUGUCUUAUUGGUGAGGUAACUGAAUGAGAUUACAGAUCCAGUUUUUUAAUUGCUAAGAUGCAGAGCCCUCACAGAAAAUGCUCAGCAUCCUGUCCCUUCUCAUUUUGAUGAUUGCCAAAGCCUACAAGGCACUGGGAGUUUAGGAGCAUCUUCUGGAGCCUGUUCUGUGCUGGAGGCUGCCCAGCACACCCUGAAGUGACAGCAGGUUUUCAGAGAAAGAAAUUGUCAGCGAGCUGUCCAAUGUGUUGUUGAGCAGGAGCAUAUGUCACUGACAGAGUGUCUCCCAGGGAUCACCAAUAAAUGAACACCUUGAGUCUCCACAAAAGGCCUCUCCACCUGGUGCCUGUUGGGAAGAGCACAGCUCUGUUUUCCUUGUUGUGCAAUUAAAUUAAUGAAUAGUAUAAGCUAUUCUACUUUUUCAAAGCCAUCACCCUGGGGAUAACAUAAUAGUUUGAAAGGAAUAUUUCCUUGCCAUUUCUAUAUCCAUGUUUAAAGUAUUAUGCUAAUAUUGGCAGGUGAUCACUGUAGGGUAAGUCUCUGUGAUGGUAAUCCUCUUUCCCUUCUCUGCUGUCAUUGCCAUUUCAAAGCUUCCAGACUUUGCUGUGGGAAUUAUUCCAAUUGGAGACAGGGACUAGAAAUUAAUGAAAUAAAUGCUAUUGUUCUGAGACUUCUGAAAAACAUGUUUGCACUGGUGCUGAUGGUUUCAAACACACGUCUGGAUAUGCUUUGCUGACUCCUGCAGGUGGACGGAGAGAGAGGGAGAAGGUGGCUUUGGUUUUAUAUAUCUAUUAUCACCUAAUUUUGAUUUUGUUGUUCUGAAAUACUUGGGGGUUCAUAUAUUUUGAGAAGCUCAGCAAAGGUACGCUUUGUGCAGAUGCACUUCAAACAUCAGCAGAUGAGCGCCAGGAAAUAAUGUUGGACAGGGGCACUGUUACAGUCAUCCUUUCUACCACUUCCUCUCAAACUGAUAUAAACAGAUGCAUGCUUUUAUGUCCUUUCCCUUGGGAAAGGGAGAACUCUGAGCACAAAUGAUCAAUAUGUGGCUUUUCCGUGGUUACUUGGGAAACUUCAUCCCUGAUGAAGUUUUCUCGCAUCCUAUGACAGAAUCCAGCUUUUUUUUUCAUCUACUGUAAGUUAUAGAAUCUAGACAAUAGGAACAAAUCUGGAUGAGCUGGUUUAUGCAAUAAUAAAAACAGGUAUGUGUUUGUGAAAACUAAGGAGUUUUGAAAAGGGAAAUUGUCACUGCUUUUAAAACAGUGAUUAUUUUUAGAUUUUCUAUGUACUGUAGACUUCUAUAUUAAUUUAUUGAUCCUUCCAAACAUUUUUCAUGUCUUAUUUUUUCCUUCAGCAUUUUUAGCAGAUUUAUGAAAGCUGGAUUUGAUGAUUUCUCUUCACCUCAGAAGGCCUUAAGUGAGGCAGUCCUGCGUGAGCAUGAGGUGCAGUGGCUGUUCUGUGGUGAUCAGUGCCAAGACACACUGGUGUGCAAUUCCUAGAUUGUAUUUCUGGUUGUACUGCAGCUCUGGACAAAUCACACCUGGGAGGUUUUGGAGGGCACAUGUCUAGUGUUUAUUUCCCACUGACAUGAGUGGUUAACAGCCAGUUGUAUUUUUCUGAAUCCCUCCCAUACAGUCUUUCAGUUUCCAUCUUCUCAGUUAUCCCAAAUAAAAGAUUAAGGCUUUGGGGUUAUCUUCUCUGCAAAAAUAUACUUACAGAGGUCCCUCCAAGAGCAGCAGCAACUCGUUCCUACAGCCAGAGCUGCUGGGCACCAGGUAAGCAUCCUCCCAAACUGGAUAUGAAAGGGGUUCCUGGCACAGCUACCUUUUAGGCACUAAUGGCUGGGUGAGGCUUGGCACACCACACUGCCAGAUUUGCAGCUUCGGCAAAUAAAUUGUGGGGCAGGUUGUUCAGAGGGCUGGAGGAGGUGGGAGGUCUGUGGGGUUGUGUUUGUAGGAUGGGAUGUCAGUUCUGUGUGUCUGGGAGCUGUGCUGGGAGAUGCUCCUGGACUUUCCCCCAGCUUUGAGUGGGGUCAGGACUUGUGAGACCAAACGUGGGGGUUGUUGGAGGUGAGAGCUGCUGUUUUCUAAUGGUACUGAGAGUGAUUUUAACAACGCCAGGUGAGGACAAACACUAUGAUAGGUACAAAAUAAUCGCCCUAGCCAAAAGGCACAAUAGCUCUGUGGUGCACACAAUGGAGAGGAAUUGAGAGUUCUUGGAUCAGUUUUUGACUUUGCCACAGACCUCCAGUGUUACUUUCAGGCAGUCACUAAAUCCCUGCGUCCACCAUCUGCGAAGCAGCCAGGCUUGGAACAGUUUGUGUCUCUGGAAGCAUGUAUCUAAUUCAGCUGUUAUUAUCAAAGCUAAAUAUUAAAGAACUGUUGUGUUAUCAUGGGCUAAAACCAUGACACACCAUUUUCACUGUGAACUUUGUUCUUUUGCUAUUACGUUUUGUUUACAUUACUUUUUUCAGGAAAAACAAUGUUUUCACUGCAUAUAAGUUAGGCAGAAAUUCAUGAUGCAUGCUGUGCAAGCUAGACUUGUAGAUUUGAUGUCUGACACUUAAAAUAAAGAUGCAUGUUAAAUGCCACUAGGAAGACUUCAGGGCUGGUUGUUCAAUAAAAUGAAGCACGAGUCUGGGCAUUGAAAGUAAACAAAUAAUAUAAGACUAUGUAGAGAUCAACCUUCCAAAGCUGUUUGGAAAGUUCCAUAACUUGGGUCUAACUGUGGGCACUUCUCAUCCCCUUGGUGACAGGCAUGCUGCUCUGAAUUUGUUGUUCAAACUUCCAUUAAUAUUCUGUGUCAGACAAGGAAAUAACUUAGGAUCAAUUGUCAAACAUGUUUCUUCAGAAAGGAACUAAAGAGCAAUCCUGAAAAAUAUCUCCUGGGAUGGAAAAAUUCUGAUCUUUGAGAAAACAGAGGAACUGCUGUGUGAGAGGAAAAAUGUCAAUUUAUUUGGAGGACAGGUGAGUUUGUUUACUAAACUAUGCAAUCUUCAAGUCUGUCUUUGAAAAUGCACGGUCAGUUUAAGAGGAGGUGCUUUCAGCUUUAGAAAGCACUGGUAAACGUCAAAAUUAUUUACAUUUUUCACAUAAUGGACCAUGGAAGCUUCCUGUGACAAUUGUCAAUUUGUCCAUGUUGGGGAGAGGAUGAAUGGGGAACUUUUGAGAAGUUCAGUUUGGCCUUAAUUGUGUUUUUCAGUAUUCAUUGAUACUGUGCAAGGUGGUAAUUACCAAGUUGAAAUCUGGAGUAGUGCAACUCCCCAGCAGACAUCUGCAGCACUGUCCCAUACCCCCAGAUGGGAUUUGGGUGUUCAAAACCAGCAGUGCCCCCAGCCCCACCAGGCAGAGUCUUUGUUCUAGCUGGUGAGAAGUUUUACAGCAUAAAGGGCAGCUUCUGAGGGAUGGAACCCUGAAAGCCACAUCUUUUCUCUCCCUUCCAGCUCUAAGCAGAGUGUAAUAAUAAUUCACAGGUUUUUACAGAAUUUCAAAUAUUUCACCUGUGUUGUUUCUACAUUGCCACAUGCACUGAUGUGUCAUCCCUGAAACAUUUCUGCUGCCCUGUUAAGUAUCCUGUUUCAACUAUCUCAAAUCACGUUAGUUUUUUUUGUUUUUUGUUUUUUGUUUUUUUUUUUUUACCACUGAGUAUUUAAAAUGAUCCACAGACUAUGUCAGAUUGGUUGAGAACAACUCCAAAACAAUGUUUUGAGCAAUUUUUGCUCCAAGAUCUAUAGGACAGGCCACUUUCCAUAAGCUCCCAAAAGCAUGCCUGGAGCCUCCAAAUCAGAGAAGUAUUCAGUUGGAAAACCUUUCCCCUUUAGUGGAGAAAAAAAAUCACCCAUAUUCUUUGGAUGGCUCUUUGUAAAUGCAGCGACUGUCACAAACCUCAAAACCAGAGACCUCCUCCACCUUCUGAAACAGCUGCAUCUCUGCUUGUGCUCUUUCAUGGUUUGGUACAGCUGUCACAAAGCAGAGCCUUGCUCUGAGGCACCUCCGUGUCCCUCCCCUCUUCUGGGACAGAUGAGGCUGGUGAUGUCUCACCUACCCUGAAUUAGUUGUGUUCUUUACUGCAGUAGCAUCUUCAACAAUAUCUGCUGUGUUCCUGCUGCUGGCAGACAUUGUAUUUUGUGUUAUUUGGGUUAAAUCAGCAUAUCUGGCUAUGGUUUGUAUCAUUCUGUGUAAACUUGAGUCUUUGAAAUCUAAAAUGCUUGGGAUGUUUUUGUUGUUGUGGGUUUUUUUUUUUUUUCCGUGAAAUUGUCACAAAGAAAAUACUGUUAAAAAGGAGGCAUAAUUUAAAUUUAAGGCUUCAGCUGAGGUGUGUUGCACUGCAGGUUUUCAUGUUGAGUUGCACAGCUGUAGACUUGCAGCCACACAGAGCCCUGCAACAAGUUAGACAAGGGGCACUGAGGCCUCUCCUGCAGGAAUCCCAUUCUAGGAGGAGCUUGACUUGUGCAGGAACCUCCCAGAGGAGUAGCAAAGUCACUGCUUGCUUGUAAGGGCCUGCUAACUUUAUAUGGUAGUAGUGUAAUAGGCUUUGGAAAUACAGAUUAUAAUGGGUCACGUGCCAGUAGAUCCUUUCUCCCUGUUUUCCCUUAUCCAUGUGCUGGACCUUAAAUACCACAUGACACUUAAUCCACACUAUCAGGCAGAAGGCUUCAUUUUAAUUUACUCAUUUGAAGAUCAAACUAUUUUUGUGCCUGAUAGCAUCUUUGACAGUGAAAGGUCACAGAAUAAUUUAAUUUAAAAGCUAAAGCAAAGCACUAAUAAUACAUGAUAUCUCACCAAACCCACAGUCACCUCCCCUGCAGCUGCUGGAUUUGCAAAAAAAAAAAAAAAAAAAAAAAAAAAAAAAAAAAAAAAGCCAUCAAAUAAUGGAUUAAGGAUUUCCAGCCUGAAAGCUUUAAGUAAUACACCAAUAUAUGAUUUUUAAUAGCAAUAUCAUAAUUUAGAAACCUAGCCAGCAAGCACUGGAAUAAUCUGUUUUUGUUGUUAUCGUUGCAGGCUGGCAGUACUUCUCUCCAGAUGUACCAUUUGGCACAUUAAGCAAUUCUUUUCUUAGAAGGGGAACCUAUGUUUUUGCCAUGUAAUGCAAAACACCAAUGGAAUCACUACAUAAGCAAAAUGCCAGUAAUGGUACAGUGGUCCAGCCACAAACAUUGGUAAAGGACAGAAAAGGGGCAAGGACAUUCUUCACAUCCCUCUGCCACUGUCCACUGACUCUUUAUGUGUAUCUCAGUUUCUUCCACCAACCUGCAGCUUCCUACGGGAUGAGCAGCUGCCUUCCUCCUAGUCUUGUGGCCAAGGGAGGAAGAGGAGACUGGCCAGGGAAAUCACACAUUUCCUUGGCAGGGCUGGUCUUUCACUGGGGAAAGGUUGUCAGCCUGGGGAGAGAGCUGUGACAUCCUGCCCUGCCUGACCCCAACUUGGGUUCUCUUCAAUGCUUCUGUUUCUUACAACAAAUGUCCUGUAAUUCAAGCUUUGUGUAAGUGGGGUCAUGCUACUCUGCUCAGUAGAGUUUCUUUCUCCUUAAUAUGACAGGUGUUUAGUUUUUUUCCUACCAUUCACCAGAAAUCUCACCUUUAUUCUUCCCAUGUUAAAUAAGUCAGUUCUGUCCCCCUGCCUAAGAGCAAUGGAAAAGCAACAGUGAAAAAAAAAAAAAAAAGAGUGAUUUCUCUCCAAGAUUCUAAUUAAAUGGGUUUGUGUUGCCUUUCCAGUUUGAUUAACUCUGUAAUUAAUAAUGACCAGGUGAGACAGGGAAGUUAAUUUUCAUUGGGCUUUUUCUGUUCCAUGAAUGCUGGGGAGGAAUUCAAGGAAGGCACACAGUUGUGAGAACACCUUCCCUCUCCUGUUGGUACAAUUCCUAAAAUCUGGCCAUGUGUUAAACUCCUGUGAAGAGCAAAAUUUCAUUAUUUCUCCUCUAGAGUAUUUCUGCAAAGAAGCUAAUCCUUGGUCCUGCUCAGCCACCCGGGGGAAAAUGAUAGUGUAAAUGCUGUGCCCUGUUUUGGGUUUUGUAUUUUUUUUUUUUCUUUUUUGUUACUCUUUGAAGCAAACAACGCAGGGCAAAACAUGGUUUUGAAGGUGGAAAGAGGCACUGCAGCAGUUCUGUGAGCUCAGCCAUGUGGGUCCAGCAUUGAGGGGGAAAGGGAUGCACAUUCAAGGUAAACUACUUUUUAAAAAGGUACUAGCUAAAUGUUUCAAUGUGUAUUUAGUCUUUUCCCACUCCUAUUUGUGUUACAGGAAGUGAUCCUCUGCUACCUGUGGGGUACCUGGGGUAGGGGGUUUGAGGUAGACUAUGAGAUUACCCAUGGGGCUGUUUCUUCUUUAAGGCAAAUAUGUUAAAGUUUGAAUUGGUGUGUGAAUGUAACUUGCAGCACUGGCACUCACCAGUAUGUUACAAUUAGGAGUCCACAAAAAAUGUGGAUUAGGCAAUCAUCCUGUGUAAGACUUCUCCCCGUGGCACACCAGCUACUCUUCAUGUUUGCUGUAUUUUCAUAAUAACUGAACUUAACAUAUUCUCCAUUCCAAGGUUCAUUCAGUUUCUUAGUACUUUUCAGUCAGCGGUGGCUUUUCACACCUGGCUGUCAUCCAAAUUGCCUGUUGAAGGCAUUUUUGAGGAAACUUCACGUUUGAGUGUUAAUAAAGUGCUGCCUGCUAAAAUAAAGUCAGAUUGGUUUAAUGUUAAUGUAAAAGAGUAGGUAAAUAGUAAAUACAGAAAUAUCAAAACAAAUAUAGAUAAUUUUGAAAUAUCACCCCGUGCUUAAGGUAGGUUGGUGACAUUUCAUGACCUAUUUUAUUAUUUUUAACUUAAGAAUUAUGCACUGCCAUAUGCAUCUAUCGAGCUGCCCUUCUACUGCUGCUGUUCAUCUAUUAGAGGAUUCUUCUAUAGUUAUCCAAAAUCACAUUAUGUUCUUUUCUUUCAAAAUCUUCCUUGAACGUGCACCUCAAGACUGCCUACAAAUACAGUGUUGUCUACAGCUUGUUGCAGGUACUUUUACUUCUGUCUUUUGACUGUCUGUCUGAAUAUGUAUCUUCUCUCUUGACCUCUUUAUCUGGGAGUCCCCUGAGGCAAGAGCCUCAUACAGCAUCUGGAUCCUUGCCCACAAAUAAUGCUCCCUCUCUGUACAUCCAGCACCACAUGGUUUUUCCUAAGAAGAGCGACUCCUUUUCUUAAGAGAGGAGUUAGGCUGGUCUUUUAGGAGAUUAGUCUUUUAGCUUAGUUUUUGUCUUGGUAUGUUAUUAGAGCUUUGGCAGCAAACCAGUGCUCCCUUUACAUGAGUUUUCACCUAGAAAAGGGUGUCCAGCUCAUUGGUAGGACACACCUGCAGCCUCUCCCCUUUGCCUCACACCUGUGCACAUGUCUUUGUCCAAAAUUCUCCACGCUGUUGCACCAUGUGCAAAAUGUGGUUGUUGUGGCCUUGUUCUCCUGAGCUGUGGCAUUAUUCUGUUAAUUAAUCUGUUGUGGAGAUUGAGAGGAGAAUUAUUCUGGUGCUGAUUCCUGACCCACCGAGAUCCAGAGGAUACAUUUUCAUUUGAUUCACAUGAUCCACUGAUAAGUAUUAGAGUGGUAUGUUGUUCCUUUUCAGGAAACAAGAGGAAGACUGGGAGAAGUGGUUGGACUCAAGAAUCAUAAGGGUUUUUUUCCAAACUAAAUGGUUCUCUUUAGUGAAACCUCAAAAGGCUUUUCAUAUAUUAGCAAAGAAACUGGGUUCCAAUACCAAGACAACCUUUGCCACUUCUUUCAAGAUGUCUUGAAGCACAUAUAAAAUUCAACUUAAUCAGUUUUAAUAUGCUUUUUUACUACUAGGCUCCACUUUAAGUCAAAAGCAGCUCCUGGGUGAAGUUGGAUUUGGUGUAAAGAAUAACAUUAUGUAAUCACAUAGGAAAGUGCUGAUUAACCACCAAAAUAUAUUUAAAAUACUUUUCUGAGUAGAUUUGUUGCUAAUUAUACUAUAUCAAUUUAAGAGUGGAAGGUGUUUCUCCAUCAUCAUGUCUUGCAUGUCUAAUAUUUUGCACUGAGCUUUGGAGUGCAGCUGAAGUGCAGCUCUCCUUGUAAAUCUGUUUUUGAUCUAAUCCCAUUUUCUAGUUAAACAUUUCAAAUGAAAUAUACUGACCAAGAAAAAGAGGGCUACUUUGUUUGGGGUAUUCUAUAGGCAGAAGAUUGCCUGAGGACUUCCUUGUUGGCUGUACCUUAUCUUGCUGUGUAUCCAGUAAGAGAUCAAGUUGAAGUGUAGGUACCUCAAGCUCUGUUUAGUUUUCCUUUUCUUUUUCUUUUUUUCGUCUCCAAGUACAUGGAUUAGAGCUAUAAAGAUGUUGAUCUAAGUCACAAGAGUUUUGGAGACCGGAAAUGCUUGAUUUCAGUAGUUGAAUUUAAAGUUAUCUGAAGGUAAAUAUUUCUUAUCUAGAUGGUGUGUAAAUUGUGUAUUCAUCUGAUUUCCUUUCCUUACUGGUUAUCAUUUUCCUUUGGUGAGUGGUUCAUUUGGCUUCCUAAGCAGAACUAGACAAACUCCUAAAUCACUCCAAGCUUUCAGUGAACUGUGUCACCUUUCUUUUUUAUUUUCUUUAAUCAUUCUUUUCAUGCUUCCGGAAUGAGCUGAAGUAUUGUGAAAGAUUUCCUAUCAUCUUCUUUGUGCCUGUCUCAAACUUCAUACCUCAAUACUGGAUGUGUUUGAUAUUCAGCUACCAUCUCUCUAAUACUGCAUGCAUGGGAGGCUGGGAUUUCCAACGUGACUGCAAACAUUACCUUUCCAAUGAUAGUUGUGUUGGAUUAAAAGCUGCAAACACUGGAAUUGUCAAUACUGGAGUUAUGUGCCCUUACCAGUCUGGGGACCUGUAACCUGCUGCUGGAAAUUCUUAUUCAGGUUUCCCAAAGAUAAUACCUUGCUGGAAUUCUCUGAUAAAUGGCUAUUGUGUGUUGCUAAAUAGUUUGUGCAGAGCCCAAAGCUGACUAAAUUCCAAAGGUAGUCACAGUUUUCAAAAAGGAUGUGUGUGAUGGAUACUGUAAUUGUAUGAGCUUUUUUGCAAGUACCAUACGUGGAUAUUUGUUCUAAUACCACGUAAUUAUAGUAAUAAAUGCCAUUAAUAGAUUAGUUAAUUCAGUGCUUUCUACUCUGAGAAAGUCAUUA
Molecule: non-coding RNA, 18513 nt
Organism: Taeniopygia guttata (zebra finch)
Lineage: Eukaryota; Metazoa; Chordata; Aves; Passeriformes; Estrildidae
Source: RefSeq, a predicted model, not a curated record